GAGGCAGGAGGAUCAUUUGAGCCAGGAAGUCGAGGCUGCAGUGAGCCAUGACCACACCUCUGCACUCCAGCCUGGAUGACAGAACAAGACCCUGUGUCAAGAAAGACCCAAUUUAAGGGGAGGAGAGGUGACGGCAUGAAGUGGGGCUGGAGAAAUGACGUGGGGUUCCUAAGUUAAUAUUUUUCCAGAUUAUGAAGCAGUUUUCUACCUUUUUAAAAAAUUUGAUCCAUGAACUUUUCAAGAGAUGUGUGUUAUUGCUGUUGUGGUGACCAUUAGCUCUCAUUUCUCAGAUGAGGAAACUGAGGCUCAGUGAGCCUGAAUGACUUGCCCAAAACUAUAAGGUCAGUUAGUGGUGGAACUUCUGCCCUCAAAUUUCUUGUCUUUUCCUGGAAGCAGUGUUGGUCCCUAGGUAAGAAACCACAGUUCAUA
RNAcentral lists this long non-coding RNA (429 nucleotides) under Rhinopithecus bieti (black snub-nosed monkey). RNAcentral describes it as "lncRNA (ENSRBIG00000045071.1)". The record is from RNAcentral. Lineage: Eukaryota; Metazoa; Chordata; Mammalia; Primates; Cercopithecidae.